CCUACGGGUGGCAGCAGUGAGGAAUAUUGGUCAAUGGGAGAGAUCCUGAACCAGCCAAGCCGCGUGAGGGAAGAAGGUCCUAUGGGUUGUAAACCUCUUUUGUCGGAGAACAAAACCCGGGACGUGUCCCGGAAUGCGUGUAUCCGUAGAAAAAGCAUCGGCUAACUCCGUGCCAGCAGCCGCGGUAAUACGGAGGAUGCGAGCGUUAUCCGGAUUUAUUGGGUUUAAAGGGUGCGUAGGCGGUCCGUUAAGUCAGCGGGAAAAUCGCGGGGCUCAACCCCGUCGCGCCGUUGAAACUGGCAGACUUGAGUGGGCGAGAAGUACGCGGAAUGCGCGGUGUAGCGGUGAAAUGCAUAGAUAUCGCGCAGAACGCCGAUUGCGAAGGCAGCGUACCGGCGCCAGACUGACGCUGAGGCACGAAAGCGUGGGGAGCGAACAGGAUUAGAUACCCUGGUAGUC
RNAcentral lists this ribosomal RNA (459 nucleotides) under uncultured bacterium. Its description in RNAcentral is "partial 16S ribosomal RNA". It matches the Rfam family "Bacterial small subunit ribosomal RNA", at positions 338 to 795 of the family's 1533-position model. The record is from RNAcentral.